UCUACAGAGUCUACAGGGAAUAGCUCAGCUUCAAGCUAAACUAACCACUUCACAAUAACCAUAUGGUCCCAUAACUCAACAAUCUGAACUGCAUGGAUUCAGAAUCAUUCUCAUUUGUUGUAAAGCUUUGUUAGUUAAUAUGCCUAUAUUUCUCCUUCAGUCAUCUGCCCAUGGGACGCCAUGCUUGGCCCAGAGAUAGUAUGCUCCAACUGGUCCUCGUCCACCAAAUUCAUACAACUCCGGAGCUGUGUGGUGCUUGUCUAUUUCUUCUAGGACCGGACUCAGAAUGUCCCAUGCUGCUGCAACCUCAUCGCUUCUCAUGAACAGAUGAUUGUCACCAUCAAUUACAUCAUGGAUUAGGUGUUCGUAUGAGUCUGGUAUUUCGGUUUUGUACCUAGAGGUUUGACCCAACAACGCAAAUAACUAUAACGAGUAGAAGUUUGAUUUUCAAAAUGUGUAGGAACACAGAUGAGAAAAGCAAAACUUGCCUGUCUUUAUAGAGCAGGUUAAGUUCAGAAGCGUCUAGCUGAAGACCUAAACCAGGAACCUUGUUAUUAAUUUUCACCAGGAUGGCCUCAUCAGGUUCGUCACGCAGAAUUAGCUCAUUUGUCCCCAAAUCUAUGUUUAUUCCAAUAUUUUCUCGGUAAAGGUUUCCGGGAACAUGCCGGAAUUGCACACGAAUCUCCACUCUUUGAAUAUUAAGGCACACCAAUCAAUUGUAAUGACAAAUGGAUAUUUCCAUGAGCCGGAAUAGUUAUUCUUACCUGUGUUUAAUGAGGCCUGUCCCAACUCUUACCAGGAAAGGUACACCAUCCCAUCGUGCAUUAUCAAUAUACAAGGCUGCAGCGCAAUAUGUAGGGUCUACACCGUUAAAUAUCACACCGUUCUUGUCCUGGGAACUAGAUUUAUACUGACCAAGGAUGACAUCACGCGGGUCUAGUUUGCGAAUUGAUCUCAAAACCUUCACCUGAAGAAGCAUUUUUGUCACAAGGUCACUUGACAGAAUAUGAGUACACAACUUCGAUAUAUAUAUAGAUAUCACAAGACAAUUCUGUUAUUUGCUAGUGCAGGUUGACCUUUUCAUUCCGGAUAUCUUCACCAUCGAGACUUAUCGGAGGUUCCAUGGUAAGUAAUGCGAUUGUCUGAAGUAUAUGGCUGUGCACUAUGUCCCGUAUUAUUCCAUAUCCAUCAGAAUACCUUCAAAAAAUGCAGUAGGAAAUUAGGUACUGAAACCAUAUCUUUCUUUAUAGAACUAUUGUGCCUUACUUUUCGUUUUGCGCAAUUGAUUCUGAUACAAUAACCUGGAAACAUAGGUUAUAGACAAAGUGAACAGACCAGAAUGUGGAGGAGGAAAGUCCAGGCACUAUACACAACUAUAAACAUCUACCUGUAUAUUGCGUAUGUAUGUUCUGUUCCAUAGUGGUUCAAAAACUAAAUUUGAAAACCUUAACACUGUCAGAUUUUCAAUGAGGUUCCUUCCUAACAUGUGAUCUAUCCUGCAACGGGCACAUACACUGUGAAUAAAGAUGAACUCGGAGAGCUGUGCAUGCAGAAAGCUACUAGAUUAAAAAGAAGGACCUGUAGAUUUGCUUCUCUUCAAACUUAGAGAGAAGUGACUUUGUCA
This 1624-nucleotide long non-coding RNA is filed under the name Capsella grandiflora. RNAcentral describes it as "long non-coding RNA (CGRA_LNC001250)". The record is from RNAcentral. Lineage: Eukaryota; Viridiplantae; Streptophyta; Magnoliopsida; Brassicales; Brassicaceae.